This is an RNA transcript of Drosophila montana, 751 nucleotides long. RefSeq lists it as uncharacterized. NCBI's taxonomy places the organism in Eukaryota, Metazoa, Arthropoda, Insecta, Diptera, Drosophilidae. The transcript has 5 exons. The record is from RefSeq and is a predicted model, not a curated record.
CGAGACUUGUGCUAUAUUUUCGGAAUUCAUUUUUGUUCUUACGUUCUGGCUAAAAACAACUUUUUCGGUUUACGAAAAAUUCAAAUUCAUUUUUUUAAAAUUUUCAAAAUUAUGGAGACCUACGGCAUGGCAGCACCUGACAAUGACAGUGCGAUUGAUUGUUAUCAACAGUAUGUCGCGCAGACUGGCUACAGGUGUGAGCGACCCGAGGACGGGGAUCAUAUGAGAGAAGACUCUCGCGACUGUAUUGCGUACGGUAGACACGAUUGGUAUCCCCAAAGGCCUAGGAACUAUCACGACGAUGAUUCCAAUCCCUAUAGAGGCGCUGGCUAUCGCUCCCCAAUGAGACACGGCAUGGAGAAUCGACGAUACGAUUCACGAAAUGGAUUGUAUUCUCCCACGGAAAUGCGCCGGGGUGGUGGUGGUGGUGAUAACUACAAUUCCCUACCGGGUGUCGGAAGUUAUGAGCGCCCCAGUUGGCACCAUACUCGCCGAAAUCGUUGGUUCUAGAUUUUAUUUAUUGAGAAAUUGUGUGGAAAUCGGAUUUAAACAUCAAUCGCUGCCGGGAGUUGAAAGCUACGAGCAUCCGAUAUGGCAACCAUGCACUCCCAAAUCGUUGGAUCUUGAUGUUGAUUGUUCUCUUUUUUUUUUGGCAAAAAAAUUCAAGUGUAUUGUUAAUGAAAAAUAAAUGAUCCUAUUAAGAGGUCAAAAACGCUAGUUCGGAAGUUCCCGACUAGGUGUUACCCUAAAA